This 28-nucleotide small RNA is filed under the name Bombyx mori (domestic silkworm). RNAcentral describes it as "ovarian small RNA-31429". The record is from RNAcentral. Lineage: Eukaryota; Metazoa; Arthropoda; Insecta; Lepidoptera; Bombycidae.
UGACAGUUCGCUUACUUCAAUCCGGUUA